RNAcentral lists this long non-coding RNA (7817 nucleotides) under Lactuca sativa (garden lettuce). RNAcentral describes it as "long non-coding RNA (LSAT_LNC005398)". Lineage: Eukaryota; Viridiplantae; Streptophyta; Magnoliopsida; Asterales; Asteraceae. The record is from RNAcentral.
UGAUUCGAUCAGUAAAUGCAAGCGAGCAUUUGAGUCGAAGUUUAUCCAUUCCUUUUACCCAAAGUGGGAUAAAAGCGAUAUAUGUGGGCCUCUCGAUGAUUUAGUGAUGACAUCUAAGCGCUUGGCCAAGCCGGGACUAAGUUGAUGUGUUCAAUUGUAGUCUGUUAUCAGUCGUCAUGAAUCGGAAGUCGGGAAAAAGUAUAGAGAGAAUGAUUGAAAUUCAUGUCUUUUGUCUAUACGAUAUCUUGAGAAUGGAGGAAUAUAUAAUCCCUUAUCUAGAGGACACGCUAUCUGAUAAGAUCAGAGUUGACAGCGGCUUUUGAAAGCUACGAUUGCUGAUCAGGUUUUGAAGUCAUACGGAAAAUAGUUAUUAGACUUAUCCAAGUGGGAGACUGUUGGAUUAGUGUCUAAGUCCAUAACUAUUUUGGUAUGUACUUGACCCGAUUAUGAGCAUGGUCCUUUUGGGUUGCCUUCACCAUAGCAAUAUGUAGGAUGAUUUAAGGAGAGAAAGGUUUAAAUAUGAUUUAUUAAUAUAUUAUGAGAAUAAUAUAUUAAAGGAGAAAUCAUAUUGUUUAAUUAAUAUUAGUCAAGAAUUAAUUGUUAAUUAAUUUUGUGGCUAAAAGAGAUUAAUUAAACUUAGGGGACUGAAGUUGUAAUUAUAAGAUAAUUAUAAUUGGGCUAUGGAUCACCUAAUAAUAUAUAGGUUGGACGAAUUCUAUGGGAAGCCCAUUAGAAAUCGUCCAAGGGAUAUGUUUAAGGAGUCCAUGGGCUGCUUAGGGCCUAAGCAGUCAAAUUAGGGUUUCCUAGUUGUAAACCCUAAUAGCCUACAUGUAUAUAAAGGGCCCCUAUGCCCCAAAAACGUGAACAAGUCUUCCAUUAGGGUUUCCAGCCGUUUUUGGUGCCUCCCUUUCUUCUCCUCUUCAUCCAAGUUGCAUAUGGUGUUUGUGACUCCAUUAGAGGUACUACACUUGUGGUACUUGCUUUCAAGAGCUAAGGAAAUUCAAGGAACUAGUUGUUAUUGCUAUAUAACAACAAAAGGUAUGUAUUCUAGCUUUAUAUAUGAAUUUCGAAAAUUAUAGUAGCAUGCCAGGUUUCUUUUUGUGUUCAUAAAGCUGUAUAACUAAUAGUGAAAACAUAGAUCCAAUACUAGGGUUGCAUGCACACAUAGGAUUGUUUGUAUUAAACCCAUCAGUGGUAUCAGAGCCAUUGGUUUUUGUUUUCAAUUAGCUUUUAUUCAAAUUUAUGAACUUGACAUAUUAGGGUUUAUGGCUAAUGAACCCUAAAGGCUAGGUAUUUUUCGCAAUUAGGGUUGCUAAACCCUAGAUGGCGAUUUUUGCUAGGGUUUCCCAAAUCCUUUCCUUAGCCUCCAAGAUUUUGAAAUCUAGGGUUUUCCAACCCUUGGAUUUCGAAAUUACCUCCUUCCCCAAGGUUAGAUCCUAAAUUUUAGGGAUUUGGAUAAUCCCAUAUCUUGUAAUUAUCUUUUAAUUGUUAAAUAUGGUAAUUAAAGAUCUUGAAUUAUCCCAUCCCUUAUUUUCGAGAUUUAGAGAGGGAUUCAAGGGAUUUGGAUAUCUUAGAUGUAUAAUUGGUAAUUAUCCUCAUGAUCUAGAUAAUCCCUUGUGAUUUAAUAAUUUAAAUUAAUUGUUUAAUUUAUGGUAAUUAUUAAAUCAACAGUUUUAAUAUUUAAAAUUUUAAUUUAAAUGUCUCAAAUUCAAAAUUUUAAGUGAGAUUAAAACCUAAUUGUUUUGAAGAGUUUCAAAACUUGCCCUCAAGUUUUGGAAUUUAAAUUGUUGAUUAAAAGUUAAUUUUGAAAGUCUAAAAUCCAAAACCCUGAUUUUGAAAAGUUCAAAUUAAACCCUUAUGGUUUUAUUAAAUUAAUUAAGUGUAUAAUUAAAAGAGAUUUAAUAAAUCCAUAAUGAUUUUGGUUAAUUAAAAGUAUAAUUUAAACCACCUAGUAUUUUAAAAGUGUAAAAUACACCCUUAUACUAUAUAUAACAUUAAAAGUUUAAUAUUAUAUAUGUAUAACUAAAAAUUCAGUCUUACCGUUAGUAGGCCUCAUUCACGAAGCUAGUCUAUAAGGGGUGUUUAAGGAAAUUGCCUAUAAAAUGGCGAUUGAAUGGGUAUCCACUCUUACCCACCGCACUCUUGACUAGUGGAGGGUCGUUAGCCGAACGGGUAGGAUAGGACAGAAACCUUCCAUUAUAAGUAUAAUGAAGUACAAAGUAACUAAAUGCUUUUUCAAAUUCCCAAAUCAUAGUUACUUUAGGCAAAAUGUGAAAUUGUAUGCUAACCCAUGGAAUUACACUUCGUACCCUUGUCAAACGUUAGUGGAGCGUGUGUGGUUAACCGGCACACUAAUUUGGGGAUGACAUUGGUAGCGAAGGGUGACUCGAUGUUUGUCAUAGAUCAAUGGAGCGUGUGUGGCUAACCGGCACAUUGAUUAGGUGAUAGUAGCAUUGGGUGCACCACGUGAUUCGUAUGGUUAUUCACACCUUGUUUGUGAUCCUCGGCAUCCCAGUCACAAAUAGUAGGGCAUAAUCGAGAUUAAACAUGCCAUUGAAAAGUUCAAUGAAUCUCAAAAGAUCUAGGAGUUUCAAUUCAUUUAAAACUUAAUCUUCCUUUUCGUUUUUCAUGGUGGAAAUUGGUAAAUCGUCAUUUACCUACCUUCAAAUAUUUUGCAACUAGAUUACGGCAUCCCUCUUCUAGGUUGUAGAGUAUUGUGUUGGAUCCUAGCUUGAUGUUUCAUUUGGGUGUUACAUCAAGAAUUCUAAUCAACUUAACUUGAAUUUUCUCCCGUUUUGUAGAUGUCUGAAUCUUACAAUGGUCUUCCCAAAUCCUUUGGAACAAGCUUUCCAAAUGAAGAUGACGUUCCGAGAUACGAUCAAGGAAAUGAGAGUCAUGCUUCACUUCCUCCACCUCCUCCAAUUGUUCUCCCUGACCCACAAGUUCAAAGGCUUGAAAAGUUCAAGCUCACUCAAGCCCUUUUGGCAAGUAAACACGAAGAUGGGAAACCUGUGUGUGCACACGUCUUAGAGAUGAAGUCACACAUUGAUAGGUUAAGCAUGUUGGGUGUCGAGAUUUCAAGCGAGUUGGCUGCUGACUGGGUUCUUCAGUCACUUCCUGAAUCAUAUAGUGAGUUCGUUAGAGAGUACUAUAUGAUGGAUCACGACGUGACCCUCAUUAAUCUCACCUAUUUGCUUAUAGCUGCUGAAUCAGCAAUGAUUUGGCGUGCUGGUCAAGCAAAUUUGUCUGGUGAAUCAAACUCCCAAACUUCAAUGGACACUGGCAACAUUGGAAGUCCAGAAAGAACUAAGUCUGUGAUUGUCCGAUGUGCUGUGCCAAAGGAGUCCAUUUGCUUUUAUUGCCAAGAGAAGGGGCAUUGGAGACGAAGCUGCCCUAACUACCUGAGAGAUCUAAGAGAUGGGAGAGUCAAGACGUAUGGCUCUGCUUCAGGUAAAAUCCAUUAUCUAACUCUUUUGAGUUCCUAUUCUAGAUUCUUAAUACAUGAUGUGAUAAGAUUACAUUUUGAUGUUUUGUAGGAUCGAAGAAAAGAGAGGAAGCUUGAGGGAAGAAGUGAGCUGAAUCUAAUCAUGAAGAAAUGGAUUUCGAUCGCAUUACUUGAAGAAUGGAUUCUUGAGCUACUACUUGGAGUUAGAAUAGAUUGUUAAGAAAUAUGUAAUAACAUAGUUUUUCAAUUGAAUUGCAUUGUAAGGACAAAUUUUUUCCGCAAUAAAAUGAAUUUUGAUUUUAUCUUAUUUAUUUAUCCUUGCAAUGGCAUGUAUGAAAAAAUUGAUGUUUGAAUGUUUCUAUUAUUAGCAAUAAUGGAUUUGAUUCUUAAUUAUGUUAUUUGUGGAAAUGUCAAAAGUUUACCAAAUAGGGAGAGUUUCUCAUCGCCCAAGUUUCAAUUGGACAGAAACUUGGAAUCAUGCAAUGUGUAUUGUAUGAUGAAUGAAAAACUUUCACAUUUGGGAAACUUAGACUAAUUCUUUGACAAAGUGUCAAUUGAAGGACUAGGAGAUCAAGUACACUAGGUUGUGCGUUGAUCAAGUCCACCACAAGAGUGACAAAGAUAUUCGUCAUGAUUUACUAAAGUUUAGUAAAUAUGAUUAUACUUAUAAGAUUAAGUGUAAUUCUGAGUUGAUUGAAAGAGUUUCAAUGAAUAGUAGAACGAAUAAAGAAGAAUCAAGUAGGCAGAAAGAUAAAAGUUUCUCCAUUCUAAGAAGAAGGGAGAGUACCUUUUAUUGUGUUUUAUGAUAAGUCUUAAUGAUUAAGAACCAUGUCUCAAUUGAUCCUCUAAGUGAGUCUUAGUGCAAUUGCAUGUCUAAGAAGAGGAAUCGAGAAUUGUAGAAAUGGUUAAAUCAAAGAGUCAAUCAUACUUCGUUCCAAUAUCAAGUCUUAGAGUCAUACUCCAAGAUUGUGACAUUGAGUGACAAGUCUUAAGUAGGUUUAUAACACUCAUCAAAUGUGGAAUUUGGAAAAGUUUUCUUAUUCUUGCACAUUAGAAAUUGGUAAGUUGUGAUGUCUUGGAUAAGACAAAGACCAACUAGGACCAAUUUGUGAAGUGUUUUGUCUUGAUAAGAACUACACUAACUCUUGAAUAUUUGCUUUGUCAAGAAAUGUUUCUUGACAAGAGAAUCUUAUAUGUCAAGGAGUCAGUGGGAGUCUUAAUGGUCUUGAAAGGUUUCAAGAACAAAUCAAGAAUAAACCUUAUCGAUCAUCACUAGCACACGACUUGAGGUUUACAACCUAUCGUGCUGACAUUAUUUUGUUUCUGUGCCAUUCCAAUUGAGUUAAUUGUGUAUGUGAGUUCUAUGAGUUCUCAUUUGAAUGCAUACUAGAGCCUUAGUCGAUGGAAAGUACAUUGAUAUGUAAGGACAAGUUACUAAACUACUUGGAAGACAUGGUGGGCACUCGUGUUACCAUAAGGCAAGAAAUCAAGAUUAAGAAAGUUCAGUCCAUAUGAGUUUGGAUUUGUCGCAAACCUUGGUUUUGGCAAAUUCACAUGGAUAGGAACUCAUACACCAUAAAAUCUAAGUGUCAUAAGAUUCCCUCCUUCAUGAAAAUGACUGUGAGGAAAUGCUUUCACUAAGAGAGAUUUUAAGAAGAUAGCGAUUGUGAAAAUUGUAUUCUCAAAUUCGAUUAUGGUUACGGCAUCCCUUUCCAUAGUUCGAAUUGUGAGAUUUGGCAAUUAGUUUGAACAUUUGGAACUUAGUAACAUAAGUUCUGAAUUGUUUAAACACACAUAUGAGCUAUCUAAGACAAAGGUGUAUAAGGUUAAGAAGCCUAGAUAAAGGCUUAUCGAAGCAUCUGGUAUUAGAAAUAUGAAUUUCAGAAAUUCAAUAGGCAUUGUUUUCUGAAAGUUCAUUUGUUUUCUGAAUACAUGUCAAAGCUAGUGGGAGCAUAAGUGUUAUGCUUAUAUGAUAAUAAUCAUCAUGAUAGUGGGAGCAUAAGUGUUAUGCUUGUAUGAUUAUUAUGGCGAGUAUUGCAAGUUAGCAAUAUUAAUUAUAGAAAAACAAAGAUUCAAUUUGCAAAGUUGCAUGGGUUGAAAAGUUGUUUUGAUAUAAUUAAGGGAGAGAAUAUUAUACUUCGUUUCAAAAUCUAAAGCUUAGAUUGAGAAAUUUUAAUAUUUUCAGUCAAAGGAUACAUUGUGUGUUCUUAAAAUUCGAUUAUGAUUACGGCAUCCCUCUUCAUAGUUCGAAUUGUGAGAACAUGACACAUAAAAUAUUAUGGCAAAAGAUUGGUAAAGUAUCAUAUCUUUAUGUAAGACAUUAUGCAUCGUGUCCCAUACGCUUCGGGUAUAGGAUCGAUUGCAAAUGCUAUAAUAUUUUACCAUUCUAAAAUUUUCCAAAUGUCUAGCGCAUUAAGAGGGAAAAAGGAAUAGAAUUGGUUUUGACUAAAAUAAUUUAACAACUAUCAAAGGAUGAUCCAAAGUUCGCUGAGGAUUGAUCGCUUGUGAGUAGUUGGAAGUAUGGUAUUGGAUGGACCAUAUCGACAUUAUUAUGAAUAGAUAAGAUUCUAUUAAGAAUGAGUUGUCAUAUGGCAAAUGUGGAAAUGUUUCCAUAUUGGGAGUUGGAUAUUGAGAUUCUAUGCCUAGAUUAGAAACUUUUAUGCAAGAAGGAUGUUCAAAGGAAUGUACUUUGAAUGUGAGACUUCACAUCUAUGGAAUUGUCUUGUAACAAUUUCUAAGAAAGCACUUUGUAAUUUCAUUAGCCAAGUCUUGGUGACUUUUGUGCUAUGACUUUACGAAAGGAUCGUUGCGUAAAAUGUUAGAAUCUAGCAUAUUCUAGUAGUGGCAAGAACCUUGUGUUCUUACACUAAUAAUUAGGAUUAAGGAAUUGUGAAAUGAGCAUCAUUGGAAAAGUUUUCAGGUGAUCUAUUUCACAAAGCAUGGACCAUAGGAAACAAAGUGUGCAUGUUUAGAGCAUGGGACAAUUGUUGGUAUAAUUCAAGUAAUGAGUUGAUUAUCCGAAACAUUAAAUGAUAAAUAAUGAGUAAUCAAUAUGGUGGAUAAAUAGAAGGGUUUUAUUUACUCUCACAAGUUUGGGGCCAUAUAGGAUUAAGUAUUGUUGUCAUGUUUCAAUUUGCAUGUUUUGACUUCCAGAAUAACUAGGUUAUUCAAACAUCCACAGUUGGUCAUACGUUGGGAGUAGGUAUGAAUAAAGACUGUCAUGAAUCUGUCUGUAGAUUGUCUGAAGUGUUUAGACAUGGCACAAGUUUGCUGCAGAGUUCGUGAGUGCUUUGAUAAGAUUAAAGUAUUGGAUUAAACCCACGCUCACUUGGAUCACUUCACGGUUUUAUCACGAGUGAUUAGUGAGACGAUAAUAUUGUAUAUUCUUGAAACCGAGACGUGUGAGUUGUUAUUUGUUGGUCAGUUACACAUUGAUAAUAAGUAAACGCACCAGUAACUUGGUGUUAUAAAACUUAUUGUUGUGUGUGAUUCGAUCAGUAAAUGCAAGCGAGCAUUUGAGUCGAAGUUUAUCCAUUCCUUUUACCCAAAGUGGGAUAAAAGCGAUAUAUGUGGGCCUCUCGAUGAUUUAGUGAUGACAUCUAAGCGCUUGGCCAAGCCGGGACUAAGUUGAUGUGUUCAAUUGUAGUCUGUUAUCAGUCGUCAUGAAUCGGAAGUCGGGAAAAAGUAUAGAGAGAAUGAUUGAAAUUCAUGUCUUUUGUCUAUACGAUAUCUUGAGAAUGGAGGAAUAUAUAAUCCCUUAUCUAGAGGACACGCUAUCUGAUAAGAUCAGAGUUGACAGCGGCUUUUGAAAGCUACGAUUGCUGAUCAGGUUUUGAAGUCAUACGGAAAAUAGUUAUUAGACUUAUCCAAGUGGGAGACUGUUGGAUUAGUGUCUAAGUCCAUAACUGUUUUGGUAUGUACUUGACCCGAUUAUGAGCAUGGUCCUUUUGGGUUGCCUUCACUAUAGCAAUAUGUAGGAUGAUUUAAGGAGAGAAAGGUUUAAAUAUGAUUUAUUAAUAUAUUAUGAGAAUAAUAUAUUAAAGGAGAAAUCAUAUUGUUUAAUUAAUAUUAGUCAAGAAUUAAUUGUUAAUUAAUUUUGUGGCUAAAAGAGAUUAAUUAAACUUAGGGGACUGAAGUUGUAAUUAUAAGAUAAUUAUAAUUGGGCUAUGGAUCACCUAAUAAUAUAUAGGUUGGACGAAUUCUAUGGGAAGCCCAUUAGAAAUCGUCCAAGGGAUAUGUUUAAGGAGUCCAUGGGCUGCUUAGGGCCUAAGCAGUCAAAUUAGGGUUUCCUAGUUGUAAACCCUAAUAGCCUACAUGUAUAUAAAGGGCCCCUAUGCCCCAAAAACGUGAACAACACUUCCAUUAGGGUUUC